UACGUAGGGUGCGAGCGUUAAUCGGAAUUACUGGGCGUAAAGCGUGCGCAGGCGGGGAUGUAAGACAGUUGUGAAAUCCCCGGGCUCAACCUGGGAAUUGCAUCUGUGACUGCAUCGCUAGAGUACGGUAGAGGGGGAUGGAAUUCCGCGUGUAGCAGUGAAAUGCGUAGAUAUGCGGAGGAACACCGAUGGCGAAGGCAAUCCCCUGGACCUGUACUGACGCUCAUGCACGAAAGCGUGGGGAGCAAACAGG
RNAcentral lists this ribosomal RNA (253 nucleotides) under uncultured bacterium. Its description in RNAcentral is "partial 16S ribosomal RNA". It matches the Rfam family "Bacterial small subunit ribosomal RNA", at positions 524 to 776 of the family's 1533-position model. The record is from RNAcentral.